UAACGCGUAUGCAACCUACCUAUCAGAGGGGGAUAACCCGGCGAAAGUCGGACUAAUACCGCAUAAAACAGGGGCACCGCAUGGUGCUAUUUGUUAAAAAUUUAUUGCUGAUAGAUGGGCAUGCGUUCCAUUAGGUAGUUGGAGAGGUAACGGCUCACCAAGCCCACGAUGGAUAGGGGAACUGAGAGGUUGGUCCCCCACACUGGUACUGAGACACGGACCAGACUCC
This 229-nucleotide ribosomal RNA is filed under the name uncultured bacterium. RNAcentral's name for it is "partial 16S ribosomal RNA". It matches the Rfam family "Bacterial small subunit ribosomal RNA", at positions 111 to 339 of the family's 1533-position model. The record is from RNAcentral.